GUCGGAUUAGCUAGUUGGUAGGGUAACGGCCUACCAAGGCGACGAUCCGUAGCUGGUCUGAGAGGACGACCAGCCACACUGGGACUGAGACACGGCCCAGACUCCUACGGGAGGCAGCAGUGGGGAAUAUUGGACAAUGGGGGCAACCCUGAUCCAGCGACGCCGCGUGUGUGAAGAAGGCCUGCGGGUUGUAAAGCACUUUUAGUGGGGAUGAAAAGCUCAGGGCUAACACCUCUGAGUCUUGACCUAACCCACAGAAAAAGCACCGGCUAACUCUGUGCCAGCAGCCGCGGUAAUACAGAGGGUGCAAGCGUUAAUCGGAAUUACUGGGCGUAAAGCGUACGUAGACGGUUGGAUAAGUCGGAUGUGAAAGCCCCGGGCUCAACCUGGGAAUUGCAUUCGAGACUGUGCAGCUAGGGUGCGGAAGAGGGAAGCGGAAUUUCCGGUGUAGCGGUGAAAUGCGUAGAUAUCGGAAGGAACACCAGUGGCGAAAGCGGCUUCCUGGUCCAGCACCGACGUUCACGUACGAAAGCAUGGGGAGCA
This 543-nucleotide ribosomal RNA is filed under the name uncultured bacterium. Its description in RNAcentral is "bacterial SSU rRNA". It matches the Rfam family "Bacterial small subunit ribosomal RNA", at positions 235 to 770 of the family's 1533-position model. The record is from RNAcentral.